GGAUGUGAGGGCGAUCUGGCUAUGACAUCUGUCACCCCAUUGGUUACCAGCACUGAUUUGGCUGAUCUGGCUGCCUAGGCAGGUGUCUUCUUCCUCACUCACUGCUCCAUGUUUGUCCUUCCUGAAACUGUAGUCUUAGUCGAAGAGGAUGACCUUCACUGAUGGAGGAGAACCAUUUCCUCCAUCAAGGGUAUACGAAUAGCUAUGGUCCAACUGCUACAACUUCCAAACAAACUCUCAAGGUUGAACAAUUUCCGAAGACAAGGACUUUCCCAUCACCCUUGGAUGCCCAAAAGUCUUUGGUUUAAAUUGAAG
RNAcentral lists this small nuclear RNA (315 nucleotides) under Heterocephalus glaber (naked mole-rat). RNAcentral describes it as "7SK RNA". It matches the Rfam family "7SK RNA". Rfam says of the family: 7SK was discovered as an abundant small nuclear RNA in the mid-70s but a possible function has only recently been suggested. Two independent studies have found that 7SK RNA binds the CDK9/cyclin T complex (known as elongation factor P-TEFb). P-TEFb activates transcription by phosphorylating the C-terminal domain of RNA polymerase II. Lineage: Eukaryota; Metazoa; Chordata; Mammalia; Rodentia; Bathyergidae. The record is from Rfam by way of RNAcentral.